Long non-coding RNA from Rattus norvegicus (Norway rat), 676 nucleotides. RefSeq lists it as uncharacterized. The record is from RefSeq and is a predicted model, not a curated record. NCBI's taxonomy places the organism in Eukaryota, Metazoa, Chordata, Mammalia, Rodentia, Muridae.
UCCUAGCAGCAUGUGGCCUAAAGUUGGAUCUGUAGUGCACACCUCAGACUUCAAGGGACUCCGAAGGCUGUAGGAGAGUCUCUAGUGCUUCACUGCAAUUCUUCAUUGGGAAGCGGGGAUAUCCUCCUGGCUGUGGACACCUCCCUCACCUCUCCGGUUACAUUUUAUGUGUUGGGGGGAGUGGCGCGGGAAGCUGGGUCUCCAGAACCGGUUGCUGAAACCACAAGGAGCAGCGAGCCCUAGAGGAUGCGGAGGAAAGAAGAACCUGGAAUGGAGGGAGCCUGAAAGUGAGAGCUCAGAGGAGGCCUGAAAAAGUUGUCUGGCAAGAUUUCUCUGAACUCGUGCAGAAGAAUAAAGCCGUAGGAACCAAUAGAAUACGGAACGAGCUGAGCAUGCAAGGCAGAGAGAGACCCAGACUGAAGUCCAGGAGUCCCACUCAAGCAAAGAGACAAGCUCACAGGAAGAGAACAUUCAAGGGAUGCCUCAGCUCGAGCAGAUACCAAUUAUCUCCUGAGUCAACACCCGGAGUCUCCACCGCCUGAUCUCUUUGCCUCCUGCUAUCUCUGCCUAUACCCUCAUCCCUCCAUCCUUCGUGUUUCACAAAGGACACUCCCCCUACCUGAAAGCCUUAAAAGCUGUAACUUUCACCCCAAUAAACAAGAUCUUGACAACAGAA